Molecule: long non-coding RNA, 3705 nt
Filed under: Capsicum annuum
Lineage: Eukaryota; Viridiplantae; Streptophyta; Magnoliopsida; Solanales; Solanaceae
Description: long non-coding RNA (CANN_LNC008164)
Source: RNAcentral
AAAGCUAGCCCACCCAUCAUUCCUCCCCGUAGUCCCUGCAAGUGCAAAUCUAACAUUUGGAACAGAUUAAAAUUCUAUUGAUGGUAAGAGAUACUAAAACAAAUAAGUAGUUUUCUACAAUAGAAGAUGCCAAGAAAUGCAAAUAGAUAAAUGACCAUCCAGAAUGAGGAAUUUUUUACCAUGACUCCUAAGUUAGCCACAUAAGCAAGAAGAUAUCCAAGAGGUACACUAAAAACAUAAUUAGAACACAAAUUAAUGUAAUCCAUGAGACCUUGCUACCCACCUCCAAUAACAAUACCUGAAACAUAAAAGUUGGCUUGAAGAAUAUUAUUUUGAGGACUAUAGAAGAGUAACACUCUCGUAAAUAUAGAAAUAGAAAAAAUUAAUAAAAGAAACACCUGAUAUCACAGGUUGAACACUGUUAAGAACCAUUGUUAAUCCAAGAAACCAAGCAUACUGAGAAACAACUCAUAUAAAAACCUCAUUGCUGGUGAAAAGAAUGGAAAAGGGAUUUCGUACUACUAAUACUACAACCAUGUAGAUUAUCCCAAUGAGAAGUGACUAAAACACUAUCACAUAGAUGCUAUAUUUCGUCGCCCUUAGACGUUCUAGCCCAAGCUCAUUUGAGACCCGAACACUAUGAAAGAAAUAAUAUAUUAACACAUCUAAACACAUAAAUGAAGUGCAUAUUUUUGAAGCUUUAGGAUUUUAUUACCUUAUGGUAGCAUUGACUCCAAUGAAAAACUUUGGUUCCAUCCAUCGAUAUUCAUGCUGAUAGAUGACAACAAAUGACAUGAAUCUUGAGCACACAAAAUUUCAUUUCAUUCACAAAUAAAAUUAAUUAUUAGUUGUUCAAGUAAACUAAAUAUACAUUCUAUGCUCAACUUACCUACCUAACUAGAUGUUAUGCUACAUUUUAAUGAGUUAUACUAUAGACCAUAAAAACUUCAGAUUAGCUUAAGAUAUCACUUGUGCGGUGAGUACUAAAAUUUGUCAUCAUUGGUGUUAAAGUUAAAAUUGCUAGAAGAUAAUAACAAGAUCAUAAAAUUAUUUCAAUUAUGGAUUACCAUUGAUCAAAUUACCUUAGCACUGACACAUACAAUGUCUCAUUAUCCUCUAGGCUCUUGAGAUAAGCUAGAUACAUGAAGCAUAUGCCUCAGAAUUUUUUUUUCAAGUGAAAAUAUUAUUCUCCUCCUUCCAUUAUCAAAUUUAUCACUCAUUAAAUCAGCACCAUCAUCCUUAAAUGUUGAUAGUGACUCAUUGUCCACAACAUCACAAGCAACAACCACUUCAAGGAAUGACAAAAAAUAACUAGCUCUUAUUCCUCUGUAUGGAAAAAUACAAAGAAAAUUAUUCAAUUUAAUAAAGAUUGUUAUGUAUAUUGAAGUUUGAAUUAUUAGAAGACACUAUCUUGUUUUGAUUUGGGCUCAACCUUUCCAUUUCCAAUUAUUUUUUCUUUAGAAAUUAAUACUAUCUUCUAAAGUUUAUCCCUCUAGCACCAUGUCUAUCUUUCUCAACCUCUAAUUGUAGUUACCUUGAUGCUUAGAGUUACGUGUGUGCACACACACAUAGAGUUACAAUUUAUAUAUAUUCAUAGUUAAAGAAAUAUUGAUCAUAUAUCAAAAUACAACAUAUACAGUGUAUCAAGUUGUCCUUCUCAAGAAGAAAAAAGAAAAGAAAAAGAUAGUACUAUUUUCAUCAGUAUUUUGGUCAAUUCGUAUAUGGAUUUAAUGCUGUGAUUUCAAGUUUUUAAAACAUUUUCUAUAGUUCUAAUCUCCCCCUAUACAGAUUGUGAGAUUUAUAGUACUCUAACCCUUAUAACUAACUUUUGAGUUAAAUAAUUAAAAAGAGGAUAUAAUAUAAUACCUCAUGGUUUGCACCAAAAUAAAUGCAUCAGGUGUUUUACCAUCCUUGUUAAGAAUCUCAAGAAGUGCAUCGAUCGACUACCAUGAAGAAAAAAUAUAUGAUUAAACAGAGAAUUGUCAAAUUAUUAAGGUUGUCCAUAGUUACAUGUAUGCGCCUACACAUAUGCCUUUUUUCGUAGAUGUAAUACGAGUGCCAUUCAAGCAUGUGUUCAUUUUAUCCCCUCUCUAUAUCUCAUACAUGUUAAUACGCAUAAGAUUUAAGUCCUAAAAUUAUCUAAAAUAGAGAAUUUGAUAGGGAUAAAUAAGUACAGUAUAUCAUGAGUUUGUUUUGAAAAUGUAUAGUGGAUAAAAUUAUAAUUUGAACACUUCUUUGACAUAACAUAUUAGAAACUAUUUGAUGAAUAAUAACCAGUGCAAGGAAUUAUUCUAACCAUAAGGUUCAUGUACAUGGCUUUGGAAGGUUGAAGGCGUAUCAUAAACUCAUUUCUACCCUGCUUUCGACCUUCAUAAUAUGUCACAUUUACCAUCAUUGAACUUGAUUGAAUAUAUGAUACUUAGCAAUAAAGUCACCAAGGGAAAAAAAUAGAUGACCAAGUGGGUGAAGUUUCAUGUAAAGCAUAACGAGUUGAUGGAAAACUAAUAAUGCAAUAUGGUAUUAAAUAAUCUAGCAAUGCUGAACUUCAACUAGAAGAAUCAAAAACAACAGUCAUAAUUUAACCUAUGAACAUCAAAGUCUAUCCCAAGCUUGUGAUACUAUUAUCUUUUCACCCUUCUUGAUGACUAAUCUAAAGCUCCAGCUCUUCAUAAAAAUUUCUUUUUAAAAGAUAAUCUCUCUUUAUAGAAAUAUUGGAAGGAGCCAAAUUUCAUGUAGAGAAGAUCUCUUUAUAUAUUGUCAAUGGAAGAGGGUUUAUAUUUUAUGUUUCAACUACUUUUAAUAAUGAAAUGACAUGAUUCACAAAUGAAAUCAAAGGGAAUAUGAUUUCGUAUCUAAAAAGAACAAAAAUAACCCAAGUGGCAUCACUUCUUUAGAUACCCUCCUCUUAUCAGUCAGAAAUAGAUCUGUUUCUAGGUCAAGUAAAUUGAUGCAUGCUAAUGGAGGUACAAUUUGGUAUCAUAGGUCAGGAAUGUAGGUUGGAUCUAGGGAGUAGAACAAAAUUGAGGAAAGAAAUUUGUGAAGAAGCCUUUAGCUUCUUCUUGAGUACCAGUCAGACUCACACCUCUUGAAAUCCUCUUUGCUUCAUAAGCAUAUGCCCCAGUCUUAAUCAAUGAUGCUAUCUCCUUCAAAUCUGAAUAAACAAUAAUCACCCAAAAUAGAUCAAAAAAACCAAAACAUUUAGUAAAAAAAACAUACCCAAAAGAUAAAAAUCUAACUUGGGUUAAUUACACCAUAUAAAUCGAUUAUGAAGAGAGUUGUUGUAAAAUUGUACUUAUGGUGGAAUAUAGAAGGGGAUGAAAUUGGAAGAAGGACCUUGCUCUACAAUCUCAACAUCUUUAGUCAACUUCUUUCUUUGUUUGGAUAAGACGAAAUAUGACAGAGAGAUGGUACAGUGAAGUAUUUGGGUGUGAAAGAAGAAAUGAUGAGUAUCCAAAUAAGAAAUCUACCUCGGUGUCUCUAUCAAGUGUACUCCAAUUUGUAACUCCGAUUGAGGGAUUUUGCUAUAGAAAUCUGAUUUUCUAUAAAUUAUAGUUACAAUUUGGAUUGUGGAUUUUCCGAUUUGCUACAGAAAGUGAGAUUUUGAUAUUUUCUAAUUUGCUACUUGAUUUUGAUAUUUUCUAUAGCUCUUUAAAGAGAAAUAUUUUUUUUUUGGUGGACUUAAGUAAAAUAUUGUGGAGGAAAAUU